RNAcentral lists this ribosomal RNA (426 nucleotides) under uncultured bacterium. Its description in RNAcentral is "partial 16S ribosomal RNA". It matches the Rfam family "Bacterial small subunit ribosomal RNA", at positions 354 to 796 of the family's 1533-position model. The record is from RNAcentral.
GUGAGGAAUUUUCCGCAAUGGGCGAAAGCCUGACGGAGCAAUGCCGCGUGAAGGAUGAUGGCCUAUGGGUUGUAAACUUCUUUUCUCAGAAAAGAAUUAUGACGGUAUCUGAGGAAUAAGCAUCGGCUAACUCUGUGCCAGCAGCCACGGUAAGACAGAGGAUGCAAGCGUUAUCCGGCAUGAUUGGGUGCAAAGCGUCUGUAGGUUGUUUAAAAAGUAUUCUGUCAAAGAUUAGGGCUUAACCAUAGAUAGGCAGAAUAAACUUUUAAGCUAGAGUUUGGUAGAGGCAGAGGGAAUUCCCGGUGGAGCGAUGAAAUGAGUAGAUAUCGGGAGGAACACCAAAGGCGAAGGCACUCUGCUGGGCCAAUACUAACACUGAGAGACGAAAGCGAGGGGAGCAAAUGGGAUUAGAAACCCUAGUAGUCC